RNAcentral lists this unclassified non-coding RNA (378 nucleotides) under plant metagenome. RNAcentral describes it as "partial contains 5.8S ribosomal RNA, internal transcribed spacer 2, and large subunit ribosomal RNA". The stretch from base 1 to 105 matches the Rfam family "5.8S ribosomal RNA", at positions 50 to 154 of the family's 154-position model. The record is from RNAcentral.
GAAAUGCGAUACGUAGUGUGAAUUGCAGAAUUCCGUGAAUCAUCGAAUCUUUGAACGCACCUUGCGCUCCUUGGUAUUCCUUGGAGCAUGCCUGUUUGAGUAUCAUGAAAUCUUCAAAGUAAAUCUUUUGUUAACUCAAUUGGUUUCUACUUUGGUAUUGGAGGUCUUUGCAGCUUCACACCUGCUCCUCUUUGUUCAUUAGCUGGAUCUCAGUGUUAUGCUUGGUUCCACUCGGCGUGAUAAGUUAUCUAUCGCUGAGGACACUGUAAAAGGUGGCCAAGGUAAAUGCAGAUGAACCGCUUCUAAUAGUCCAUUGACUUGGACAAUACUUUUAUGAUCUGAUCUCAAAUCAGGUAGGACUACCCGCUGAAGUUAAGC